UAAUCUAGGGUUUCAAACCUCAUAGAGAGGGGACGGCAACUUGGUUCUGCGCUGGACAUCUCUUCGUUUGAUCUCGUGGCAAUGCGGCGUUGUGCGAUUCCGUGGAUCGGCGGCGGCUUGCAAAUGGUCAAUUUCAGAGCCCUAACACCACCAUUGCAACGGUGGUGUUAGUGGUUCGAUGGUCUGUGUAGAGGAUGAGGUGGAUUGUGGUGAUAAGUGGAGGGUAAGGAUGGUAAUGGUUGGGUUUGGGU
Molecule: long non-coding RNA, 251 nt
Filed under: Actinidia chinensis (golden kiwifruit)
Lineage: Eukaryota; Viridiplantae; Streptophyta; Magnoliopsida; Ericales; Actinidiaceae
Description: long non-coding RNA (ACHI_LNC009437)
Source: RNAcentral